GGCUUCUCGCUAUCACUUCUGGAUGGACCUGCGGUGCAUUAGCUUGUUGGUGGGGUAACGGCCUACCAAGGCGAUGAUGCAUAGCCGAGUUGAGAGACUGAUCGGCCACAAUGGGACUGAGACACGGCCCAUACUCCUACGGGAGGCAGCAGUAGGGAAUCUUCCACAAUGGGCGCAAGCCUGAUGGAGCAACACCGCGUGAGUGAAGAAGGGUUUCGGCUCGUAAAGCUCUGUUGUUAAAGAAGAACACGUAUGAGAGUAACUGUUCAUACGUUGACGGUAUUUAACCAGAAAGUCACGGCUAACUACGUGCCAGCAGCCGCGGUAAUACGUAGGUGGCAAGCGUUAUCCGGAUUUAUUGGGCGUAAAGAGAGUGCAGGCGGUUUUCUAAGUCUGAUGUGAAAGCCUUCGGCUUAACCGGAGAAGUGCAUCGGAAACUGGAUAACUUGAGUGCAGAAGAGGGUAGUGGAACUCCAUGUGUAGCGGUGGAAUGCGUAGAUAUAUGGAAGAACACCAGUGGCGAAGGCGGCUACCUGGUCUGCAACUGACGCUGAGACUCGAAAGCAUGGGUAGCGAACAGGAUUAGAUACCCUGGUAGUCCAUGCCGUAAACGAUGAGUGCUAGGUGUUGGAGGGUUUCCGCCCUUCAGUGCCGGAGCUAACGCAUUAAGCACUCCGCCUGGGGAGUACGACCGCAAGGUUGAAACUCAAAGGAAUUGACGGGGGCCCGCACAAGCGGUGGAGCAUGUGGUUUAAUUCGAAGCUACGCGAAGAACCUUACCAGGUCUUGACAUCUUGCGCCAACCCUAGAGAUAGGGCGUUUCCUUCGGGAACGCAAUGACAGG
RNAcentral lists this ribosomal RNA (844 nucleotides) under Limosilactobacillus fermentum. RNAcentral describes it as "bacterial SSU rRNA". It matches the Rfam family "Bacterial small subunit ribosomal RNA", at positions 202 to 1038 of the family's 1533-position model. Lineage: Bacteria; Bacillati; Bacillota; Bacilli; Lactobacillales; Lactobacillaceae. The record is from RNAcentral.